GCCCGUUUCGUCUAGCGGUAGGAUUCCACCCUGUCACGGUGGAGGCCCGGGUUCGAUUCCCGGAGCGGGCG
Molecule: transfer RNA, 71 nt
Filed under: archaeon
Lineage: Archaea
Also listed under: 1 other name
Description: tRNA-Asp
Rfam family: tRNA
About the family: Transfer RNA (tRNA) molecules are approximately 80 nucleotides in length. Their secondary structure includes four short double-helical elements and three loops (D, anti-codon, and T loops).
Source: RNAcentral